GUAGGUGGCAAGCGUUGUCCGGAAUUAUUGGGCGUAAAGCGCGCGCAGGCGGUUCUUUAAGUCUGAUGUGAAAGCCCACGGCUCAACCGUGGAGGGUCAUUGGAAACUGGAGAACUUGAGUACAGAAGAGGAAAGCGGAAUUCCACGUGUAGCGGUGAAAUGCGUAGAGAUGUGGAGGAACACCAGUGGCGAAGGCGGCUUUCUGGUCUGUAACUGACGCUGAGGCGCGAAAGCGUGGGGAGCAAACAGGAUUAGAUACCCUGGUAGUCCACGCCGUAAACGAUGAGUGCUAAGUGUUAGGGGGGUUUCCGCCCCCCUUAGUGCUGCAGCUAACGCAUCAAGCACUCCGCCUGGGAGUACGGCCGCAAGGCUG
RNAcentral lists this ribosomal RNA (373 nucleotides) under uncultured organism. RNAcentral's name for it is "partial 16S ribosomal RNA". It matches the Rfam family "Bacterial small subunit ribosomal RNA", at positions 527 to 896 of the family's 1533-position model. The record is from RNAcentral.